CUGGGUGAAGGUUUUUUCUUUGGGAAGUUGUGUUCUAUGGUCAGAGACUCUUAUAACUGGUUGGGUCAAGAUCAGUCUAGUCUGAAGAAUUACUUCCUGUCACCAUUGAACAAAACAAUUUUUGCUUUGUAUCUAUUAAUUCCAGUCUCUACAGUGAUGUAGAAGGAAAGUAUUUGCUCCUUUAGAAGUGUCUGUUCAAGGGCCUUUUGCAGUGUGACAAGUGAUGAGAAGUAAGGGAUCCAGCAGCGGGAACCAAAUCUGAUAGUUACACAUGGGAGGAAACGUCUAGAUAGAAACCUGGUCAGUGGAACUAACUGUGUCUGUGUGCUAUGCAAGGGCUGUGUGCCACGUACUUGUGAAACUCGUGUGUGAUUGAAGACUGGUACCAGCUCUAAAGUAGCAAGGAUCUAUGGGAGACCAUGGAGUCUUCUAUUACCAACUACAAUGGCAGGAACGGAGUGUGUUCCCAUUACCAACUACAGAGAUUUUUUGGAUGUUCCAGAGAAUUUCAGAUGGCAUCAGAUGAUCAGGAGCAUGCAUUCAGUUCAAGAGGAGAUAAAAAGAAACAAAACUUACCUGAUAUGAAGAGGUAGUGCUUUCAGCUCUCAAGAACUGAAGACAGAACUCACGUUCACCAAAAAAGAUCGUGUGUUUAAAGCUAUGCUACAGUUAUGCCAAGUUGUAUUUUAGUAGGAUGUCAGAAAGUAAACAAUCAUGAUUUUAUUACUGCCAAAUAUUUUAUAAAGACCUGAUAAUGUAAACAUUAGUUUCACUAGAAAAAGCAUAAGAGUAAGACAUACAAAAAGUAACAAUUUAUAAAAUAUAUAUAUAAUGCCAUGGAUGACCUAUACAGGUGAUUGUAAGUUGGAUUCUAACUGAUGUUCUACAGUAUGGAUGUCUUCAAAGACAGAGUCCUCUCCAGGAAAUGCAUAGGACUCACCCUCUCCCAUCAGUUUACAGACAUUGGUGUCUGCAGGCCUGCUUCUCACCUUUUUUUUUUUUUCCUUUGCUCCUCUCUCUGUCAACUGCUGUGUAUUAUUUUUAUCUUUUCUUUUAUACAUUUCCUCUCAAGCUGCUACCAUCUUAGCUGCUGGACCCAACUGUGUGGUGGAGCUGUUGGAGUCGGCUGUAUGUUUUAAGAAUACAUUUCAUCUCAGUAUCAGUGUCUUAAAUAGAAAUUACAGUAUACCUAAUGGAGCUAACUUUCAGUACACAGCUUUUUACCUCUUCCUGACUUCAAUAAAUUGGUCUUUUUCUAUAUGUUUAUGAAUUUCCGGCCUAUGCCAACUCCGAUUUUUAUUGGAUUUAUUCACGUUUAAUUCAAAAGUCAAGUGAUCUAGGUGUAUAAUGUGUACUGACUAGAAAAAGUAACAACUGAUUACUAAAUUUGAACAUUCCCUCUGGCUUCUAAAUUUGAUUUUUCUUAUUUGUUACUAAGAUCAGUGAUUUAGAAAAGCUUUUCUUCAGUGGUCCCUCAUAGGCCUGGUUUUCCUCUCUUCCUCAGACCUGUUGGGUCUUUUUUAUGCUCUGAGUGCAUCUUCCAGAGCUAGUGUCUCUCUACGUGUCAUACCCUUUUCUUUUGAAAAAUACAGAGCCAGUAGUUUAAUAAGGGGCUGCCACUCUUAGCUUUUAUACUUAAGGUUGAUGUUUUCACCUACAGCACAAUUAAGUCUCUGUCAGCUGGGGAAUAUGGUGAGAAGGACACAGUAUUUCCAAAAUGAAAUUACUUUCUCACUCUGUCUUCUAUUAUCUCUCUCUACUUUUUCAGACUUAUGUUCUCUUAAGCUGUCCAGAAACUAAAAUAAUUUAUUUAUACCAUGUAUAUUUCUAUAUCUACUAUAUAUAUAAAAUAUUAUGUAUCUGUCACCAUGAUAAUAAAUGUAACAAGAUUUUUUUUUUGUUUAAGAGGCAUUUCUUUUAGUAUUUUGAAUUGGAGGCAUAAAUGCAUACAUAUAGUGCUCUUCUCUGAAAAUUAAACAUUGAUAAGGUUUCUGUUUGAAUAGCUUAACAAAUGUUAUAUGGAUUAAAGAAAGCAUUAAAGAAACUGUGAAAGGACAUAGACAUUAAGUGUGCAGCACAAUACAGAAGAAAGGGGGAAUGUUAAGUUAUAUGACUAUCUUUCAGCCUAUCAAUUUAUAACAUUUUCACAGGAAAAAAUGCUAAUAAAGAAGAAAGGAUUGUUAAUCCACCAAACUUUUAUCUAGGUAGUGCUAUGCAAAAUUUAUGUCCAAAUUCAGUAUUUACAUAAAUGUACUAUUAAUAACAAGAAUGAAUUAAUAUUCUGUGAUGAAUUUAGAAAAGUCACUACUUUGUUAGAAACUGUUGUUGUUGUUAGGCCAAUCUUUCAAAAAUAAUUAUUAUAUUAUUGCUGCUGAAGCUGAGGUUAGUAUUGGUGUUUCUUUGAACAUCUUUUUAAUGUAUUCUGUGAGCAUAGAUCACUAUCCUUAGAAAAACAAAACAAAAAAAUAAAACACAAAUUGUGAGAUUAGUUUAAGGAUUCUAAUUGAAAUCCUCAACCUAGUAAACAGUUCCUACAAUUUGCUGAAGUUUCUCUUCUGAAAUAUGAAACCUCUAUUACACACAGUACUUUGCUUAGCCUUUUUUUUUUUUUUAUAUUUGGCUACUGGGAAUUUUUUGAACAUGACCUAAUAACUGUCCUUACUCUCAGAGGAGAUUGAGUCAUUAAAGCUAUAAAGUAUUUAGCUCACUACUACUCCAGAGAAGAUGCUGAAAUGAGCCACAACCUGAGCACACUGAUCUGCUUCCAGUACCAGUGCUUUCAGCUAAUUCAUAUAAUACAGUAAUACAUCAACUCUUAGCCCAGAGGAAUGUAGGUCUCUUGUUAUUGUGGCAUAGCCGGAAAAAAAAAAAGAGAGGGAAGGAAAGGAGUGAACACAAGUAUUUUGCAUAGUUAUAUCACUUGCAAAAUAUUUCACAUAUUUUGUAUGGUGCAUAGAUGUUACUGAAAACAAAAAUGAAAGUUGCUGAUUUUUACUUUUUAAGAACAGAUUGAUUUUGUCCUGUGAAGAGAAAAAGGGAUUCACGGAUUAAAUUGGAAAUGUCUUCUUAAUGUAGCUGUUUAAUAAGAACUGUAAUGUACUUAGUAG
Non-coding RNA from Meleagris gallopavo (turkey), 3107 nucleotides. The record is from RefSeq and is a predicted model, not a curated record. Lineage: Eukaryota; Metazoa; Chordata; Aves; Galliformes; Phasianidae.